Doryrhamphus excisus (bluestripe pipefish) is the source of this 7867-nucleotide non-coding RNA. The record is from RefSeq and is a predicted model, not a curated record. Lineage: Eukaryota; Metazoa; Chordata; Actinopteri; Syngnathiformes; Syngnathidae.
GGCCACAGGUGUCUUGCGUUAUGCUAAUGUUCCAAUCAAAGCAUUGACGGAUGUUUAAUGUGACCGUUUGCUAACAACUCGUGGAAAAUGUCAGAAAAGUGUCUAUUUCAGAUGUUGAAGUCACACAGCUUUCUUCCACUACGAUGACACGCUUACUGGCCCGGCCGUCUGGUGAACCACCCCCACCCCCCCUCAGGGAACAGUGGAAAGGUAAGUGGAAAAUGUCAAGGUUCUGUGAAAACGCAUGCAUUUUUAAUAUUUCAGGGUUUUUUUUGUUUUUUUUUUACCAAAGAUUUCAAAAAUAUUUGAUCCACUUUGACAAGUUUGAGAAAGGAAAUGACUGGAAUCCAUUUUGGAAUGCGGCCAUGAAGCUGGGGGCGGGGGUGGUGAUUACUUCUGCAAGGCGCUGUAUGAUUUGAGUUCUUAGCGGGCACACACGGCGUACAAGCUUUGGCACCACUUUGUGUUUGUUGUGUCCACUUCGUGUUGUGGUCAUGUGACGUGUUCCUCACUGCAGCCAACCAGCCAUCACUCCAUUCUUCACUUCAACACCUCAUUGAGGUGGAGUUCACCACUUCAUGAAAGCGGCGACGCCGGAAAGCUUGUUAUGGAAGUUCUUCCGUCUUCCUGGUGGCCAGGCCUUGCCUCUCCAUGAUGUUCCACAGCUUCCGUAGGUUGGAGCGGGUGAUGGCGUCGUCGGGUUUGAGUUGCAGGGCUCUCAGGUAGUUGGCCUCGGCUUCCGACAGUCUUCCGUUCAAGUGCAGGAUGGCGCCGAGGUUCAUGAGGGCAGCUGGGUACUGGGAAGGGCGGAGUAAGAAGAAGAAGAAGGAGUCAUAUGUGAUAGAUGAUGUGGUCUUCUUACGACCUUCUCAAUGUGCUUUUUAUAUAUAUAUAUAUGUGCUAUAUUUAUAUAGCAGAUACAAUAAGAGGAAAUGGGACAUAUAAAACCUGUUUACUACCUUCUAAGUAUGCUUUUUACCAUUAUUAGAGCCCUCUAUACAACAAAUAACACCCCUAUAGUCACAUUUACACUCCUAUUACCCUAUAUGGCAGAUACAAUAAGAGGAAAUGGGACAUAUAAAACCUGUUUACUAGCUUCUCAGUAUGCUUUUUACCAUUAUUAGAGCCCUCCAUACAACAAAUAACACCCCUAUAGUCACCUUUACACUUCUAUUACCCUAUAUGGCAGAUACAAUAAGAGGAAAUGGGACAUAUAAAACCUGUUUACUACCUUCUCAGUAUGCUUUUUACCAUUAUUAGAGCCCUCCAUACAACAAAUAACACCCCUAUAGUCACCUUUACACUCUUAUUACCCUAUAUGGCAGAUACAAUAAGAGAAAACAGGACAUAUAAAACCUGUUUACUACCUUCUCAAUAUGAUUUUUACCAUUAUUAGAGCUCUCUAUACAACAAAUAACAACCCUAUAGUCACCUUUACACUUCAAUUACCCUAUAUAGAAGAUACAAUAAGAGGAAAUGGGACAUAUAAAACCUGUUUACUACCUUCUAAGUAUGCUUUUUACCAUUAUUAGAGCCCUCUAUACAACAAAUAACACCCCUAUAGUCACAUUUACACUCAUGUUACCCUAUAUAGUCGACAUAAUAGGUGGGUUUUUUGCUCCUUUUCCAAGGUUUUUGUUUAAUUAGAGUUUAUUCUCAUAAAAUGACAGCUGUUUAUUUCCCAUUUCAACUAUUUUCUUGUAACUUUAUUCCCAGAAUAUUUUUUUUUCUCCUUAAUAUUUGAACUUUAUGCUACGAAAAUGACGUUUAUUUUGAAGUUUAUUUUGGUAAAAUUGCAAAUACUUACGGACAUUUUUUCAUAUGUUUAUGCCUGAUUGAGUGAUAGACGUGAGUCCAACUACGUUUAUGCUAACUGUUUGUUUGGUCGUCUCCCAAGCUAGGGCUUCUUUUAUCUGUCCGGCUAACGGAUAAGCAAGCGCUGUCAGCGCUAACAGGUCAAGUGCACCAGACAGAUAAAUGGCGGUCACGUCUCUUCUUCCUGCUGCUCUUAGUGGACCCCCCCCCCAUCAAGAUCAAACCUUGCCUUGAAGUGACUGAUUCAUUGAGAGAGUCGUACUCACGUCCGGUCUGAGGGCGGCCGCCCGCUUGUACUGCCUCUCCGCCGCCUGGUUCAAGCUGGCCUGCCUGCCAAAGGAGCAGCACGUGGCGUGAAACCAACGCGGUGCGAACACGGCGGAUGUUUCCUACCGAACCUUAGCAUGUGUGCCGCGCUGAAAACGACGUCAAACUCCGAGCUCUCCAACUUGGCCGCUCUGUCCGCCAUCUCCGCCGCCUCGGGGAGUCGCGAGUGCUCCAGGAGGAACUGCCCUGCGAAUGGAGGACAGGUGGAGAUGGUGAAAAAGACACAACUUCCUGUCCCUUCCGCUGUCUGCAGAUGUUCGGAAGGGGAGAACGUGCCGCAUGGAGGCUGGGAACAAUGGAAGGAAGCGGCAGCUUGUCAUGACCAUCUCUCUCUUCUAAUGGAGAUAACGGCCAGCCCAAAUAAAUAUCACCUCAUCCAAGAUACGGGCCAGGACACAAUGGUGCUUACUACAAUAUCCUGGAUGACAUCAGACGUCUCACCGUAGUGCAUGUAGCAGUUCCCCCUCAUGGGGUCCAGCUCGAUGGCCCUCAGGUAGUACUUUUCUGCCUCCGUCUUUUCACCCUAGAAGAAAGAAGUAUGUUCUUAGGUAGACGCCCAUAGGAUGUGUCAUGAGAGCCUUUUUAGGAGCACCAAACGCGAGAAACGAUCAUCUCCCUCACUUGUUUGAGUCACAGUCACUUUUCAGGUUCUUUGGAGUUGAAGGAAGGCAUUUUAUGGCCUUCUAGAUUCAGUUCUAGAUACAAUUAUUAGAGCCCUCUAGACAUGAAAUAACACCCCUAUAGUCGCCUUUACACUCCUAUUACCCUAUAUAGCAGAUACAAUAACAGAAAAGGGGACCUAUAAAACCUCUUUACUACCUUCUCAAUAUGAUUUUUACCAUUAUUAGAGCCCUCUAGACAACAAAUAACACCCCUAUAGUCCCAUUUGCACUCCUAUUACCCUAUAUAGAAGCUCCACGUAAGACAAAAUAGGACAUAUAAAACCUGUUUACUACCUUCUCAAUAUGCUUUUUAUCAUUAUUAGAGCCCUCUAGACAUGAAAUAACACCCCUAUAGUCACCUUUACACCCAUGUUACCCUAAAUAGCAGAUAUAAUAAGAGUAAAUGGGACAUAUAAAACCUGUUUACUACCUUCUCAAUAUGCUUUUUAUCAUUAUUAGAGCCCUCCAGACAAGAAGUAACAACCCUAUAGUCACCUUUACACUCCUAUUACCCUAUAUAGAAGAUACAAUAAGAGAAAAUGGGACAUAUAAAACCUGUUUACUCCAUUCUCAAUACGCUUUUUAUCAUUAUUAGAGCCCUCUAGACGUGAAAUAACACCCCUAUAGUCACAUUUACACUCCUAUUACACUAUAUAGAAGCUACAAUAAAAGAAAAUGGGACAUAUAAAACCUGUUUACUACCUUCUCAAUAUGCUUUGUAUCAUUAUUAGAGCCCUCCAUACAAGGAAUAACACCCCUAUAGUCACCUUUACACUCCUAUUACCCUAUAUAGCAGAUACAAUAAGAGACAAUGGGUCUUAUAAAACCUGUUUACUACCUUCUAAAUAUGCUUUGUAUCAUUAUUAGAGCCCUCUAGACAUGAGAUAACACCCCUAUAGUCACAUUUACACUCCUAUUACACUAUAUAGAAGCUACAAUAAAAGAAAAUGGGACAUAUAAAACCUGUUUACUACCUUCUCAAUAUGCUUUUUACCAUUAUUAGAGCCCUCUAGACAACAAAUAACACCCCUAUAGUCACCUUUAGACUCCUAUUACCCUAUAUAGCAGAUACAAUAAGCGAAAACAGGACAUAUAAAACCUGUUUACUACCUUCUCAAUAUGCUUUUUAUCAUUAUUAGAGCCCUCCAGACAAGAAGUAACAACCCUAUAGUCACCUUUACACUCCAAUUACCCGAUAUAGAAGAUACAAUAAGAGAAAAUGGAACAUAUAAAACCUGUUUACUCCUUUCUCAAUAUGCUUUUUUACUAUUAUUAGAGCCCUCUAGACAACAAAUAACACCCCUAUAGUCACCUUUACACUCCUAUUACCCUAUAUAGUCGACAUAAUAGGAGAAAACAAGCGUGUGGAGCCACACGCUCAAAGAGAGCUGUUUAGCAUGAAAGCUACACGCACACAACCCCGGUUUAGCAAGUGUUAGAUUCCGCCCCACUAUUGUGAAACCUCCUUGGACGUAUUUUAAAAUGGUUGCUAAUGUGAGACGUUUGAGGAACGUCCGUGCUUUGGAGGUGAAACGUAGUCCACGACGCCAGGCUGACCCCCCCCCUCCUUCGCGCCUGACUGCAGCCUACGUAUGGACAACAACACAUGUUGCUCAUUUAAUAAGGAAGCCCAGUAAUUCCAUUACGCAUACGCCAGUCCCCGCACUGGUCCCACUGUCCGGGGUGCGUCCAAUCUCCGUUGCCUUAAGCCCCUUUCGGAGGAGCCGUCUGGCAGCAUGCCUGGACUUUGUGGAGCGGUUCCAAGCCUCACCAUGAUGGACAGCAGUUUGCCGUAAGUCAGGUGGGCCGGGAUGUGGUCCGGUUUGGCCCUCAGGGACUCCUUGUACCAGUGGCGCGCCUCCUCCAGCUUGUUGAGCCUCAUGUAGGCUUCUCCUGGAGAUGGAGAAGAUGUUAUUCUUCAUGACCGAAUGAAUGCAUGACAUCACUUGGGUCCCUCCACCUGACUAAACACCCUCCUCCCGUCCCCAGUGAGACCUCAAGCGGACCCUCGUGGAGCGUCUAAAGGGCGUACCCAUCAUGUUGAAGAGGCUGUGUGGGGCAAAGUGUCUGGGCAUCCUCUGCACCGCCCGCUUGUAAACAGAAAUGGCCUCCUGCGGUGGAGACAAGGAGCCCUUUUAGAGGAGAAAGGAGUCCUCGGCGGCGGCGAGCCUCACCUCCUGCUGGCCCUGCUCGUGGAGCAUCUUCCCCAGGUUGUACAGGCAGCUGGUGACCGAGCUCUUGUGGGUGUGGGGGUCCUUCAGGUUCUCGUCGGGAAUGUUGGCGCAGGUCACGAAGGUCCGCUUGGCCUCCUCCAGGCUCCCCCGGUUCAUCAGGAUGAUGCCCGUGUUCAGCGUGGGCCGACUGCCGAUGGCCUUUUUGUAAUAGUGGAGGGCCUCCGAGAAGCUCUCCUUCUCCUGCAGCAGCAAACCCCUGGAAGACAGAAGACCAGAAGACGUGGAGGAUGUGAUCAGGGCUGGUUUUUCAUAUUGGGGCCACGUUAUACAGCAUGUCGGCCAUGUUGCUCCUGUGAUGCAGGGCGUUCCUGUAGGCUCUCUCCGCCUCCGCCAUCUUGCCUUGGCUCUUCAGCACGUUGCCCAAGUUGCCCCAGGCUGCAGAAGACAACACAAGCAUCAUCAGACCACCAACGAACACAAAAGGCGCCGGACCACGUGGCAAGCGUACCUUUGGCGGGGUUGACGCUGAUCCCGGACUUGUAGAGCUUCUCCUCGUUGCUCCAGUCCUUGUUCCUCUGAACGGUUCUCAGCCCGUUGAGCAGCACCAGGCCCAAACACAGAGCCAGCAGCAGAGCCUUCAGGCCUCUUCUCCUGAGUCUAACGUACAAAGUUCUCGCACCGGUGGCCACCAGCAAACAGAAGCCGACACUGGGGAUGUAGAGAACCCUCUCGGCGAUGACAAAGCCCACGUAAAAGAACAAGUUGGACGCCGGGACGAAAGGCAGCGACAGGAAGGCGAGUGAGAAGAUAACGAGGUUUUCUGUCGGGGGGAGAGACAUCCGAGGAGAGUCGACGUGAAGACCCCCUGAGCCGUUGAGGGUGGCCUUUGGAGGACACAGGUGGGGCCGUGAAAGCCGAACCAAGCCAGGAGCCCCAACGCGCCGUAGAAGCCGAGCGUGUGAAGGUUCCUCCAGUCGGCCAAGGACGUCACCAGGGGCACCGCGUCCAUGGACCAAUCGAAACUGAGCUUAUCGGGACAGAGGAGCAGCCAGGCGUUGGCGGCAGGCAGGUGCAGGAAGGUCAGCGUCCGAGUGAGAAGAUGCAGGGAGUCGGCGGCGGGGUUGUCCGAGUUGGAGAAGUUGGGAGGCUUGUUGCCCAUCCAGUAGAUACGACAUGACAGCAGGAUGGCGCCCCAGCUUGCCAGAACGCUCAGGCUCAGGAGAAGCUUUGGGUUCUUCUUCUGGAAAGACAAAGCGUGCGGAGAAUCAACCUCCAGCCAAGGGAACAUGGUCAGGCUGCACACCGACAGGAAAGACGGUCAACUUGACCUUCUAAAGCACGGUGGAACCCCGCAAGAACCUGCAGAGUGGCCCGUGUGGAACACACCAUGCAGGUAGCAGAGGCGAUCCAGGAGGAUGAGACCUUCAAUGCAGGGAGCAAGCGUCGCCUUCAGCUGCAUGGAGACGUGUCUUCAAAAUACCCCGCGCGUCGGGCUGAAACUCCUCAGAGAGCUGGUGGUAGCAGCACCCCACGCUGCAGACGGCCAGGAGCUCCGCUUUAGCCACAAACAUCCUGAGGGUGCUAGCAGCCAGGUCGCCACAGGUCCUGGAUGAGCUCCCCGAGCUCCGUUUCCGCGGUAACGUAGGACAUGAGUGGCGAGAAGACAUCUGAGCCGCUGCUCCGGUUCUGGGAUUUCCUCUCCAGGGUCUGGUAUCUGCAGCACCUCCUGUGACCCACCUUCAUCUCCAUCAUCUCCAGCUUUUAGUUCUGCGACCUCUUCCGAGGGCAUCUCUUCCUCUGCGUUUUUAGCCUCCGUGCGUUUGUGGUACACCUUGGAGAACUUCUUCAGCUUGCGGUUUCUCUCCCGGGCGCCGUGGGUGUUGAUGCUGGACGAGUCGAUGCCGAAGACCCGGAGGCCGUGCUGCAGGGACAAGAAGGCGCUCAGUGCUUGGCCAAACAGUCCACCACCUCCGACAUGGAUCGGACCUCGUGGAAUUUCUUUGUGCUCAUAAACUCGUCCGACUCCACCUCAGCCGUGGAAGUAUUGUCCGGUUCCGACAUGUUUCGUCUGAGGGCCUCCAGAAGCUCAUCUUGGCUUAUGCAGACUCUCAAACCAGGAAGUGAGUGGGCCUUUGCUGCUUGCAAUAGUUCAUUUAUAUCAACAAGCUGCUUUGUAUCUUGGCAGAAGCCAAAUGUGGUCCCGGAUUUUUCUGUUUAGGGUAAAAGUAAAAGUAAAAUUAGUUGUUCAUAAUAUUUAGUUUUCAUUUGAUUACAUCAAUAUUUUAUAAAUCGGAGUCACCUUGUUUUAGGACUUUUGUCUCCCCCUGGUGGCCGCUUCUGUCAAUGGCAGCCAGAACCUCUUCGGGUGAAACAGCCACGAAGCGGCUCCACACGUCGUGGGUGUAAAACUCGACAGUGUGGGCGUUGGCGAUGCACAGAGUUGCAUCGAGAAACCGAGUGACUUCAUUUAUCCGUUGCUGGACCUCCGUAAGGCUGAUGGAGACGGGAAUCAUGUUGAAAUACUAAAAAAGCCAGGCAGACUGAAGUGAAUCUAGUCGGCAGUCCACUUCCGAUAUACUCAAGGCAUUAGUAGUUGAAAACAUAUCAUCGAUUUUUAUUUUGGACGUCUCUGGGGCCUCUUCUGAAAUAUUGCUCUACAUAAAAUAGUUUUAAUACCAAUUUAAUGUAAUAUUUUAAUAAUUCAGUGUUAAUUGUUUAAAAAAAGCGAACGGAGGAAGAAAAUAUAUCCCAUAUUGAUCGCGUGAUCUGCAGUCGGUUAUUCACGUUUCUUGUGUACGUCAUCAAUCUGCGACUGUAAAGACACGCAGUACUAGCACGCGUGUAAACAUUUUACUGUCCCACUAGUUUACAUAUCUACAUAUCAAAAAA